UCGGGGAUCGUCUAAUGGCAGGACGCCAGCCUUUGGAGCUGGCUAUCGGGGUUCGAAUCCCUGUCCCCGAA
RNAcentral lists this transfer RNA (71 nucleotides) under Myxococcales bacterium. Its description in RNAcentral is "tRNA-Gln". It matches the Rfam family "tRNA". From Rfam's summary of the family: Transfer RNA (tRNA) molecules are approximately 80 nucleotides in length. Their secondary structure includes four short double-helical elements and three loops (D, anti-codon, and T loops). Lineage: Bacteria; Pseudomonadati; Myxococcota; Myxococcia; Myxococcales. The record is from RNAcentral.